RNAcentral lists this ribosomal RNA (497 nucleotides) under uncultured bacterium. Its description in RNAcentral is "partial 16S ribosomal RNA". It matches the Rfam family "Bacterial small subunit ribosomal RNA", at positions 28 to 507 of the family's 1533-position model. The record is from RNAcentral.
GACGAACGCUGGCGGCGUGCCUAAUACAUGCAAGUAGAACGCUGAAGAGAGGAGCUUGCUCUUCUUGGAUGAGUUGCGAACGGGUGAGUAACGCGUAGGUAACCUGCCUUGUAGCGGGGGAUAACUAUUGGAAACGAUAGCUAAUACCGCAUAACAAUGGAUGACACAUGUCAUUUAUUUGAAAGGGGCAAUUGCUCCACUACAAGAUGGACCUGCGUUGUAUUAGCUAGUAGGUGAGGUAACGGCUCACCUAGGCGACGAUACAUAGCCGACCUGAGAGGGUGAUCGGCCACACUGGGACUGAGACACGGCCCAGACUCCUACGGGAGGCAGCAGUAGGGAAUCUUCGGCAAUGGGGGCAAACCUGACCGAGCAACGCCGCGUGAGUGAAGAAGGUUUUCGGAUCGUAAAGCUCUGUUGUAAGUCAAGAAAGAGUGUGAGAGUGGAAAGUUCACACUGUGACGGUAGCUUACCAGAAAGGGACGGCUAACUACGUG